Molecule: long non-coding RNA, 4480 nt
Filed under: Homo sapiens (human)
Lineage: Eukaryota; Metazoa; Chordata; Mammalia; Primates; Hominidae
Description: HSALNT0148329
Source: RNAcentral
GUUUCUUAAAAGCAAGGACCAACCGGGCACUGUGGCUCACGCCUGCAAUCCUAGCACUUUGGUAGGCCGAGGCAGGUGGAUUGACUGAACUCAGGAGUUCAAGACCACCCUGGGCAACAUGGUGAAACCCUGUCUCUACUAAAAUACAAAAAAUUAGCUGGGCGUGGUGGUGGGGGCCUGUAGUCCCAGCUAUUCAGGAGGCUGAGGCACAAGAAUUGCUUGAGCUUGGGAGGCAGAGGUUGAGCCGAGAUCACACCACUGCACUCUAGCAUGGUCAACAGAGCGAGACUCAGCCUCCAAAAAAAAAAAAAAAAAAAAGCCAGAACCUUCUCUUACAUAACCAUAUUUUUUUUUUACUGUGGUUUGCCAGAUGUUUCCUUAAAUGCCUGGAGAAAAGGAAAUAAGGGAAGGAAAAAAGCAGUACAAAAGAAAAGAAAAAUUUCCAGGUCUUUGCAGAUUGGCUCUAUGUUGAAUCACUCCUUCUAUGCUUAGCCAUGCUGUUUGCAACUCUGUCUAAACCUCCACUUCUUGCUUGCACUGAGUCUAAAAAUCAGGCAGAGGUGAAAACUCAUGGUCUUCCCAGUUUUUCUCUAAGCAUGUGUCCUUCUCUUGGCAUGUGUGUGGCUUUCUAGAUUCCCCUGUAAACAUAGAAAACUUUCAAAGCUCUUAUUCUCCCCCAAAAUAUCAUUCUCUGGAUUUUCCUCUCAGGCUUUCAACAUGUCUGUUGUUUGAUCUAGCUGUUUUUUUGAUUGUUUGUUUUGCCCAGCCCAUAGCAGUUCAUUCAUUUGUUCUUAAUUGCUUUUAGGAAAAGUCUGUGUAGCUGCUCUAUCCUAGCAGAGUUCCAAGUUAGUUACAACAAAGAGAAACCCUAGUUAGGUUCAAAAGACAAAUCCUGGGCCGGCGCGGCGGCUCACACCUGUAAUCCUAGUACUUUGGAAGGCCAAGGUGGGUGGAUCACCUGAGGUCAAGAGUUUGAGACCAGCCUGGCCAACAUGGUGAAACCCCCUCUCUACUAAAAAUACAAAAAUUAUCUGGGCGUGGUGGCGGGCACCUGUAAUUCCAGCUACUUGGGAGGCUGAGGCAGGAGAAUGGCAUGAACCCGGGAGGCAGAGGCUGCUAUGAGCUGAGAUCACACCAUUGCACUCCAGCCUGGGUGAAAGAGCGAAACUCAGUCUCAAAAAAAAAAAAAAAAAAAAAAAAAAAAAAAUCAAAUCCUAUUCCAUAGGAACAAGGUCCACUCUGCUCUCUCUAGAACGAGGUAUCUGAACAGGGAACACAAGCUGCUGGCUCUAAGAUCACUGCUUCUCUAAGGAGGGGAUGGGGCUAAGAGGUGGAGUCUCCUCUGUCACCCAGGCUGGAGCGUAAUGGUGUGAUCUCGGGUCACUGCAACCUCCACCUCCCAGAUUCAAGUGAUUCUCCUGCCUCAGCCUCCUGAGCAGCUAGGAUUACAGGCACCUGCCACCACACCAAGCUAAUUUUUGUUUUUCGGUUUUUUUGAGAUGGAGUCUCGCUCGGUUGCCUGGCCUGGAGUGCGGUGGUGCAAUCUCGGCUCAUUGCAGCAUCCGCCUCCCCAGUUCAAGCUAUUCUCCAGCCUUAGCCUCCUGAGUAGCUGGGAUUACAGGCAUGCGCCACUGUGUCUGGCUAAUUUUUGUAUUUUUUAGUAGAGAUGGGGUUUCACCAUGUUGUCCAGGCUGAUCUCGAACUCCUGACCUCAGGUGAUUCGCCCACCUCGGCCUCUCAAAGUGCUAGGAUUACAAGCGUGAAACACUGUGCCUGGUCAAUUUGUAUGCUGUUCUCUAAGCCACUUCCUUAGAACCAUCUUCUAAUUCACUAACACUCUGUUUGUCUAUGUCCAUCUAAGAUAAUGUAUAUCUAGUUUAUUGAGGGUUUAUUACCAAUAACUUACUUUUUUCAUUUAGGAAAUUAUUUUCAGGAUUUCUAAUUGAUUCAUUUAUUUUUAAUUUUUAAAGUUUUCAUUUUGAAAUAAUUUUAGAUUUACAGAAGAGCUUCAGAGAUAGCAUAGCAAAUUCUUGUUUAUCCUCCACCCAGCUUUCCCUAAUGUUAACAGUUACGUAAUGUCUUGCAUAACUGAGACAUUUAUCAAAAGUAAGAAACUAAACUUGAUAUAAUACUAUUAACUUUAUUCAGAUUUCCUUAAUUUUUCUUUUUUCUUUUUUUCUGUUCAGAAUCCAAUCCAAGACACCAUGUUGAAUCUAGUUGUCAAGUCUCAAAUCCGUGACUGUACUCAGUCUUUCAUUGUCUCAUGACCUUGGCAUUUUUAAAGAGUACUGGGCAGGUUAUUUUGUCUAAUGUUCCUCAAUUUAGGUUUUUAUCUGAUGUUUUCUGUUAAGCUAGGGUUAUAGAUUUUGGGGAAGAAUGCUACAGAGGUAAAGUGCCCUUCUCAUCACAUCAUAUAAGGGGUUAUAAGAUAUCAGUCUGACAUUAUUAUUUAGGUUAACUUGAUCACUUGGUUAAGGUGGUAUCUCCAUUGUGCAGUUGCUAUUUUUCCCUUUCCAAAUUCUAUGCAUUAGAAGUGAGUCACUGAGUCCAGGCAAUACUGAAUAAGAGAGAAAUUGAGCUGUACUUCCCAGAGGGAGAUGAAUCAAAGAAUAUGUGUUCUUUCUUUCUUUAUUUAUUUAGAGACAGGGUCUCACUAUAUCUCCCAGGCUGUUCUCAAACCCCUGGCCUCAAAUGAUCCUCCUGUCUUGGCCUCCCACAGUGCUGGGAUUAUAGGCAUGAGCCAAUGCGCGAGAUCUCUUUUUACGUUUAUUCAAUUUGUUAUUCUUCCUUUAUCCCUUUGAGGAUCCAAGGCAUACUUGUGUUGAAGCCUUUUAUUUCUGUUGUUUUUUUCUUAGAUUGAGAGUAUCUGUGAAAAAGGUCUUUUAAAGAUUGUUCUUUUCUUUGCAUUUAUCUAUAGUGAAUUACCCUCCUAAUUAUGGAGGAUUUUACUUUGUUUGUUUUUUUGGUUGGUUUUUUUUUUUUUUUUUUUUUUGGUGUUGGUGUUGGGGAAUUUGUCCUGUCUACAAUUAAUUUUAAUAAGUUGAGGAAAUUUAUUUGCAGGUUCAUCUUAGAGUGGGAAGUUUUGCAAUUUCGUUCUGUUUUGUUUUGCUAUAACCUUCUUUCUCACUGCUCUCACCAUCCUUAUCUAGGGUUUUUGUGAAUUCAGUCAUGGCCCUGUAUGUUUGGCACAGAUCCUGGUUUUGUGGCCAUGUCUAUGUUGGCCUGGUUCCUGGGUAUGAGAGUUACAAAAGCUGCUGUCCCAGGCAGCAGAGGGCAGCAGCUUGUUUCAGCCUCUUUUUCUCACCUCAGCCCCUAGUUUUAUGAACUAAAACAGAUUCCAAGCCACUCUGACUGGAGCAUUUUCCUCUAUUAGAUUACUUUUUUUACUUUGAAAAAAAUUUUUUUUUUUUUUUGGAGAGUGGGUCUCACUCUGUUGCGCAGGCUGGAGUGCAGUGGUGCAAUUGUAGCUCACUGCAACCUCCACCUCCCCAGGCUUAGGUGAUUCUCCACCUCAGCCUCCCAAGUAGCUGGGACUACAGAUGCACGCCACCAUGCCCAGCUAAUUUUCGUAUUUUUUUGUAUAAACAGGGUUUCAUCAUGUUGCUCAGACUAGUCUCGAACUCCUGGCCUCAAGUGAUCCACCCAUCUCUACCUCCCAAAGUGCUAUGAUUACAGGUGUGAACCACCAUGCCCAGCCAAAAAUGAUGUUUUUAAUAGAUACAAAAAUAAAAUAGGUAAGUUCUCAUAAAAUUACUAUAUUUAAACAAUAGGGGCCAGGCGCAGUGGCUCACACCUGUAAUCCCAGCACUUUGGGAGGCUGAGGCAGGCGGAUCUUUGAGGUCAGGAGUUCAAAACCAGCCUGGCCAACAUGGUGAAAUCCCAUCUCUACUAAAAACACAAAAGAAUAGCCAGGCAGGGUGAUGGGCACCUGUAAUCCCAACUACUUGGGAGGAUGAGGCAGGAGAAUUGCUUGAGCCCGGGAGGCGGAGGUUGCAGUGAGCCGAGAUCGUGCCAUUGCACUCCAGCCUGGACAACAGAGCAAGACUCUGUCUCAGAAAGCAAACAAACAAACAAACAAAAAACCAACAGGGAAAAAUUUAUGUCUGCAAUUUUAUUUCAAUAAAUAAGCACACAAGUAGGUGGUAAGAAUACACACACAGAGAGGGAACAUCACAAUAUUUAUUGCAUUUAUUUCUUGGAAAUGGUUUUUGAUUGUUGUUUUGAGACAGGUCUCACUGCAAACUGCACAUCCUGGGCUCUAAAAAACCUCUAACCUCAGCCCCACCCCCAAUAGCUGGGACUACAAGUGCACACCACCACACCUGGCUAAUUUUUUUUUUUUUUUUAGCGUGUAACCUUUUUUUUUUUUUUUUAAUUUAUUUAUUUUUUAUUGAUCAUUCUUGGGUGUUUCUCACAGAGGGGGAUUUGGCAGGGUCACAGGACAAUAGUGGAGGGAAGGUCAGCAGAUAAACAAGUGAAC